AGCUCCUUUUUUUCACGAAUCUUGUCAUUUUGUAAGUUACUUUUAUUUAAUGUGUGUUCAAGUGAAUUUUUUCCUUUUUUGUAUUCCUGAUCAUUAUUAUUGAUGAUUUUCUUUCAGGUGACACGAUAGCUCUGUGCGAGCUACAAUGCGAUCUUCGCCCUCACAAAUUCUACUUUGUGAGACGAUAGCUCUGUGCGAGCUACAAUGCAAACUAAGCACUCACA
This 224-nucleotide unclassified non-coding RNA is filed under the name Melitaea cinxia (Glanville fritillary). RNAcentral describes it as "misc RNA ENSMCXG00005007117.1". The record is from RNAcentral. Lineage: Eukaryota; Metazoa; Arthropoda; Insecta; Lepidoptera; Nymphalidae.